CAAGGCAGUAGCUCACGCGCGCAUGAAUUCAUGUUAUAUUCUCCUAAAAAACAUUCGUCUCAAUAGCGCGCCUCGCAUCUCCGUAGGUGAACCUGCGGAAGGAUCAUUA
This 109-nucleotide ribosomal RNA is filed under the name Globisporangium carolinianum. RNAcentral's name for it is "Pythium carolinianum partial 18S ribosomal RNA". Lineage: Eukaryota; Oomycota; Peronosporomycetes; Pythiales; Pythiaceae. The record is from RNAcentral.